This is a small nuclear RNA of Molossus molossus (Pallas's mastiff bat), 107 nucleotides long. NCBI's taxonomy places the organism in Eukaryota, Metazoa, Chordata, Mammalia, Chiroptera, Molossidae. The record is from RefSeq and is a predicted model, not a curated record.
GUGCUCACAUCGGCAGCACAUAUACUCAAAUUGGAACGAUACAGAGAAGAUUAGCAUGGCCCCUGCGCCAGGACGACAUGCAAAUUUGUGAAGCAUUCCAUAUUUUU